RNAcentral lists this ribosomal RNA (417 nucleotides) under uncultured soil bacterium. Its description in RNAcentral is "bacterial SSU rRNA". It matches the Rfam family "Bacterial small subunit ribosomal RNA", at positions 26 to 446 of the family's 1533-position model. The record is from RNAcentral.
AGAUUGAACGCUGGCGGCAUGCCUAACACAUGCAAGUCGAACGGGAGUAGCAAUACUCUAGUGGCGGACGGGUGAGGAAUACGUAGGAAUUUGCCCUUAAGUGGGGGAUAACCCGGGGAAACCCGGAUUAAUACCGCAUGACCUCGAAAGAGCAAAGUGGGGGAUCGCAAGACCUCACGCUUUUGGAGAAGCCUACGUCGGAUUAGCUAGUUGGUGAGGUAAUGGCUCACCAAGGCGACGAUCCGUAACUGGUCUGAGAGGAUGAUCAGUCACACCGGAACUGAGACACGGUCCGGACUCCUACGGGAGGCAGCGAGUGGGGAAUAGUUGGACAAGUGGGCGCAAGCCUGAUCCAGCAAUGCCGCGUGUGUAGAAGAAGGCCUUCGGGUUAGUAAAGCUAACGUUUAAGUUAGGAAA